AAUGGCUUUUAGGUACGUAGCUUCAUUGACGGUACAAACGAGUUAAAAUUUCCAGCAUUCAUGUCUUUGUUUUCCCUCAAGUAAACGUAGUCAAUACUGCAAAUGGUGUGGAAGUAUUGCACAUUGUGGCGCAAAUGUCCAAAAUUUCCCCAUUGCUUGUAAAUUAAGUUUGGGUGAGAGAGAUGGGAGGAAACAACAGCAAGUGUGAAGUCAAUAGACAAUUGAUAGUCUU
This 232-nucleotide long non-coding RNA is filed under the name Gossypium raimondii (Peruvian cotton). RNAcentral's name for it is "long non-coding RNA (GRAI_LNC007862)". The record is from RNAcentral. Lineage: Eukaryota; Viridiplantae; Streptophyta; Magnoliopsida; Malvales; Malvaceae.